Alligator mississippiensis (American alligator) is the source of this 2028-nucleotide long non-coding RNA. RefSeq lists it as uncharacterized. The record is from RefSeq and is a predicted model, not a curated record. Lineage: Eukaryota; Metazoa; Chordata; Crocodylia; Alligatoridae. The transcript has 8 exons.
GCCUUCCUGGGGCUGGUGCAUGUGGCGGGUGUUAGCUGGGCGAGAGCAGCGCCUGGCUGGCAGGUGCGAGUGCCAAAGAGCUCAGGGCUCACCGGGUGGCAGGGCAAGGAGCAGAGGGCCGAGCGGGAGGGGACGGUGAUGGUGGCAGGAGUGCUGGGUCCUGGGUGGGUGAGCCAGGUACUUUUGGGCGUGUGUUACCUGAUGCUGCAAGAGCGAGGGGGUGUUUUUCUUUCGGUAGCUCAGCUGGUAGAGCAGAGGACUGUAGAGCGUUGGGCAAGACAUCCUUAGGUGGCUGAUUCGAGUCCGGCUCGAAGGAACGCCUCCCUUUUGGGGCUUGCAUAGGAAAGCUCUGCACCUGAGGGUGGCAGGGGCAGCUUGCGUGGAAGGUGAGCGCUGCUGAGUUGUGCAAGGGCACACCAAAAGGGCCUACUGCCUGCCUGGGAGGCGCUGCCCCUGCGAAAAAGUCUUCCUCUCUGCGAGCGCAAGGGGAUUAGGCAGCAGGGGUGAGGCUGGCCCACGGGUGGCCAGGAAGCAAAGGGGGAGCAGGCUUGGGUAGCCAGCAGCAGCCAAAGGAAGACCCGAGGGCUGCCGAAGCCCGGGAUCGAUCCAGGGACCUUUAGAUCUUCAGUCUAACGCUCUCCCAACUGAGCUACUCCGGCUGCCAGGGGGCCUGUGGUGGCUCUGGCUGGGCCUUCCUCCCCAGGCCCUGAGCCCAAGGUGGAAGGCUGGGCUUGGGGCUCUGGGCUGCAGGCGCCUGGGCCUCUUGCCUGGCUCCGGGACCUGCGGCUGCUUGGCCAGUGCCCGUGCUUGACAAGGGGAGCCAAGAAGUGGCAAGGCCUGUGGCACAAUUGCCACCGUCUGUGUCCCUCUCCAGAAAUCUGUCUCUGCCAGCGUGAGAGGCUGGUGUUGAAUUCCUCAGGGCGGGGGAUCACAAAAGCCUGGUGCCUCCGAAGAGGAUUCUCUGGUCUGGUCGGUGGGGAGGGGGAGGGAAAAAGCCCCUUCAGGGGCCCAGGUGACCCGUGAUGCUUUGUAAGUUGGUUGGCUAGUGGCCAGCACUGGCAGCUUCGAUUGGCCCGGGCUGCUGAGGUCAGAAAGGUUAUUUAAAGGCCCGGUCCAGGAAGAAGGCAGCCAUUAGCCAUGCGGUCAUCGAGAUGCAUCUGAAACUGGCAGAGGAGCUUCACCAUCUGAAACUGGCUUUCUCCUCAAAGAGUGACCUGCCUCCAGAGCAAAACUGCAACCAGCUCUGGAUGAUGCGGGGCCUGCCAGUGGCACAGGAGACGAGCUCGGAGAGCAAUUUGUUUGCUACCUUGUGGGCGUUUUGGAUCAGCCCUGAGAGGGAGCCUGGCUGAGUCCCCCAAAACAUCUGCUGAGAUACUUAAGAUGCUUCUGGGGGCUGUACCAUGGCAGUACCCACGUCCUCCCAGGAAAAGGAUUUUGGACAGACGACCUCCCGGUGCCCUCCCGAGGGCAUGGACCAAGGAUGAUGCCAUGUCUGGGAAGAAGCCAGGGCAGGCAGAGACAGGAAAAACUUGGAGUCCUGGUCAGCUUUGACCCACUGGGAAGGGGAGGAUCCAGCAUGUCUUGGAGCCAAUGCAAAAGGUAUCAUGUCUGUUAGUGGUAACAGAUUUUCCAGUUCUGCACUCCAGUAAUGGCCCGUGUGAUUCCAGGCAAGAACUGUGCAGCUUGGUGCAGCAUCCGAAAUCUGCUUUCUAUGCCACUGAAGAUGAUUCUACGGCUGUACUAUGGCAGUUCCCACGCCUCUCUGGGAACACGGACUGUGACCCGCGGCCCCCAGCUCCCUCCUGGACCUGGUCUGCAGGACAUCAAGCAUGAAGGAGUGGAUGUGGGGGCUGUAUGAUGUAGGGCAGAAAAUCAGCACCAGAAAGCUACUCCCUCUGUUCUGCCCCUUCCCUCUCCAGCCCUCACCACCCUCCCUGCCUCUCCUUUCCCCCUAUAUAUGAUGUUAGGUUAGGCUAGGUUAAGUUAUAUUAUAUUGUUUUAUUUCCUAUUAUAUUGUAUUGUGGUGAA